AGGGAAUUUUCGGCAAUGGGGGGAACCCUGACCGAGCAACGCCGCGUGAAGGAAGAAGGUUUUCGGAUUGUAAACUUCUGUUAUAAGGGAAGAACGGAUUGGAUAGGGAAUGAUCUGAUAGUGACGGUACCUUAUGAGAAAGCCACGGCUAACUACGUGCCAGCAGCCGCGGUAAUACGUAGGUGGCAAGCGUUAUCCGGAAUUAUUGGGCGUAAAGAGUGAGCAGGCGGGGGAUUAAGUCGGCGGUGAAAUUUUGCAGCUCAACUGUAAAAGUGCCUUCGAAACUGGUUUCCUUGAGUGCGGAUGAGGUAGGCGGAAUUUGUGGUGUAGCGGUGAAAUGCAUAGAUAUCACGAGGAACUCCGAUUGCGCAGGCAGCUUACCAAGCCGUAACUGACGCUCAAGCACGAAGGCGUGGGGAUCAAACA
RNAcentral lists this ribosomal RNA (426 nucleotides) under uncultured Porphyromonadaceae bacterium. RNAcentral's name for it is "bacterial SSU rRNA". It matches the Rfam family "Bacterial small subunit ribosomal RNA", at positions 356 to 774 of the family's 1533-position model. The record is from RNAcentral. Lineage: Bacteria; Pseudomonadati; Bacteroidota; Bacteroidia; Bacteroidales; Porphyromonadaceae.